This 483-nucleotide ribosomal RNA is filed under the name uncultured bacterium. RNAcentral's name for it is "SSU rRNA". It matches the Rfam family "Bacterial small subunit ribosomal RNA", at positions 26 to 521 of the family's 1533-position model. The record is from RNAcentral.
AGGACGAACGCUGGCGGCGUGCUUAACACAUGCAAGUCGAACGGAAAGGCCCUUUCGGGGGUACUCGAGUGGCGAACGGGUGAGUAACACGUGGGUGAUCUGCCCUGCACUUUGGGAUAAGCCUGGGAAACUGGGUCUAAUACCGAAUACACCUUGCUGGCUGCAUGGCCUGGUGGGGGAAAGCUUUUGCGGUGUGGGAUGGGCCCGCGGCCUAUCAGCUUGUUGGUGGGGUGAUGGCCUACCAAGGCGACGACGGGUAGCCGGCCUGAGAGGGUGUCCGGCCACACUGGGACUGAGAUACGGCCCAGACUCCUACGGGAGGCAGCAGUGGGGAAUAUUGCACAAUGGGCGCAAGCCUGAUGCAGCGACGCCGCGUGAGGGAUGACGGCCUUCGGGUUGUAACCGUCUUUCAGUAUCAACGAAGCGCAAGUGACGGUAGGUACAGAAGAAGCACCGGACCAACUACGCGCCAGCAGCCGCGGU